AUUGAACGCUGGCGGCAGGCUUUACACAUGCAAGUCGAGCGAGUGGCGGACGGGUGAGUAAUAUAUGGGAACGUGCCCAAUAGAGGGGGAUAACUACUGGAAACAGGGCUAAUACCGCCUACCAUUGGCGCAGCCGAUAUCGGAUUAGCUAGUUGGUGGGGUAAUGGCUCACCAAGGCAACGAUCCGUAGCUGGUCUGAGAGGAUGACCAGCCACACUGGGACUGAGACACGGCCCAGACUCCUACGGGAGGCAGCAGUGGGGAAUUUUGGACAAUGGGGGAAAGCCUGAUCCAGCCAUGCCGCGUGUAUGAAGAAGGCCUUCGGGUUGUAAAGUACUUUUGGCAGGGAAGCGGUACCUGCAGAAGAAGCACCGGCUAACUACGUGCCAGCAGCCGCGGUAAUAC
This 405-nucleotide ribosomal RNA is filed under the name uncultured bacterium. Its description in RNAcentral is "partial 16S ribosomal RNA". It matches the Rfam family "Bacterial small subunit ribosomal RNA", at positions 30 to 526 of the family's 1533-position model. The record is from RNAcentral.